This is a long non-coding RNA of Mus musculus (house mouse), 602 nucleotides long. RefSeq annotates it as predicted gene, 39586. The transcript is spliced from 3 exons. The record is from RefSeq and is a predicted model, not a curated record. NCBI's taxonomy places the organism in Eukaryota, Metazoa, Chordata, Mammalia, Rodentia, Muridae.
CACAGCUCCUAACUUACAAAGGCUUACAGACUCUACCUCCCUCCAGGGUUCUUUUUCUUCAAGUAGCACUAAAAAAGACCCCACACUCACCUUCCAAUCAUGCUUGCCUCUUAAUAUUUCCAAUCUUCUUCCUCAACCUAAUACUAACCACUCCCUAUCUCACUCCUGCACUGAAACUUUAGAGGAACCAUUACCUCAUUCUACACACGUACAGGAGGGCACAUUGCCUCAAGUCAUUUACACCUGGUAUACAGAUGGAAGCUCCAGAAAAGCCAUAGUGUCCGACACGGAGGUGGUGGAGGCACAGGCCCUUCCUGCUCACGCAACUAAUCAACAGGCUGAACCCGUAUCUUUCAACUGGCACAGACUUUCACCUAUGUGCACUGAGGACACAGAUAGGAUAAAAGCCAUCUCUGAUCAUGGGGACCUUGAACCCCAUAGUGGGGAAUGGCAAGUGUAGGCAUGAACAAAACUGAGACAACAUCACUGCCAUAUGCUGAAACCCACCAGCUUGCUUUCUCUUAGUUUCAUGAUGAACCCUCCUGACCUGCUCUUCUCUGGUUCAACAAUGAAAUCAAUGGCGUCAUCAGAUCUUAAAGGAG